GGAUUGUGGCUCAGUGGCAGAGCACUUGCCUAGCAUGCGUGAGGCACUGGGUUUGAUUCUCAGCACCA
This 68-nucleotide transfer RNA is filed under the name Marmota monax (woodchuck). RNAcentral describes it as "tRNA.Ala". The stretch from base 5 to 65 matches the Rfam family "tRNA", at positions 6 to 65 of the family's 71-position model. Rfam says of the family: Transfer RNA (tRNA) molecules are approximately 80 nucleotides in length. Their secondary structure includes four short double-helical elements and three loops (D, anti-codon, and T loops). Further hydrogen bonds mediate the characteristic L-shaped molecular structure. tRNAs have two regions of fundamental functional importance: the anti-codon, which is responsible for specific mRNA codon recognition, and the 3' end, to which the tRNAs corresponding amino acid is attached (by aminoacyl-tRNA synthetases). tRNAs cope with the degeneracy of the genetic code in two manners: having more than one tRNA (with a specific anti-codon) for a particular amino acid; and 'wobble' base-pairing, i.e. permitting non-standard base-pairing at the 3rd anti-codon position. Lineage: Eukaryota; Metazoa; Chordata; Mammalia; Rodentia; Sciuridae. The record is from RNAcentral.